Molecule: non-coding RNA, 5632 nt
Organism: Podarcis lilfordi (Lilford's wall lizard)
Lineage: Eukaryota; Metazoa; Chordata; Lepidosauria; Squamata; Lacertidae
Source: the annotation of a GenBank genome assembly
CAGUGGUAUGACUUUAUUUGAAAAUGAAUUUUUUAUUCUUUCUCCAUCUGAUAUUGCCAUAGUUUUUCUGUGUUAUAUAUCAUAUUGGGUUGAAAGUUUCAACCAAGCGUUGUUGAAUGUAGUGUGUAUGCAAACAUGAAAAUGUCACAUCACAUAUAACCACUGCUUUGAAGUUUCUGCAAAGAACUUCCUCCAGCAACAUGCAUUCCAGCCACUUCCUCCAGUUCGCUCUGCUGCACUAGGGAGUUCCCAGUGCAGCUAAUCCCAUAGUGCAAGCACAGACUGAUCAGCUGGUGGUUGGGUCCUCAAAGUGCCUACAGAUCCCCGUUUGACCUGAGAACGACUUUAUAUCAUGUCAUGGGUAUCAGGUGAUGCCGCAGAUAUUAUUAUAUAUAGAGCAUAUUUAAUUAGGCCUAUGAACGGAAGUUUUCACAGUCCUGGUUUAGGCCAUGAGUUCUUAGUGAAAUUUAGAAAAUAAUUUAGACAGAAUGUUGAGGUGGUUCACAUGUCAUGUGUCUGGGGUGGCUCAAAACUCCAAGAUUGCCGUGACGACCAUAGGGCUGUCAUAGCAUAUUGCUGGCUCAACACAUGUGGCAGGCCACACUUUGGAUCUUGUUUUCUCAACUGCACAGGAAGAAAUUGAUCUGAAAGUUUGGAAUGUUGACACUAGCUCCUUAUCAUGGUCCAAUCGCUUCCUGUUGAAAUUUAGGCUUUCAGCACCUUUCCUCCUAUGCAGAGAUAGGGGGACCUGUUAAGAUGGUCUGUCCUCAGAUGCUAAUGGAUCCUGUGUGUUUUCGGACGGCUCUUGGUUGCCCUGUAUGUUGAUGACCUCUGUUGGGAGACAGAGAAAAUUUGUCCUUGUUAAUUCUUCACCUAUCAGUGGCUUUUUAUACCAUCGACCAUGGUAUCCUUCUGGAGCAAAUGUCUGAGUUAGAGGUGGGUGGCACCGCUUUGCAUUGGUUCAGGUCCUACUUGGAUGAUCGUUUCCAAAGGGUGAUGGUUGGGGCCGGCUCUUUGGCCCUUCAAUGUGGGGUUCCUCAGGGUUUUAUUUAAUCCCCUAUGCUAUUUAACACCAACAUGAAACAGCUGAGUGGGAUUAUCUGGAAUUUUGGAGCACGCUGUUAGCAAUAUACUGAUGACACAUAGCUCUGCUUCUUCUUUAUACUUGCAGGUGCAGCAGUGGAUGUGCUGGACCAUUGUCUUUCCCCAGUAAAAGACUGGAUGGGAGCCAACAACGGAAGCUCAAUCAAGAGAAGACUGAGGCACUGUUAGUGGGUGGUUUCCUAGACCAGAUGGAUGGGAGGUGACCUGCUCUUAUGGGGUUACACUCCCUCUGAAGGAGCAGGUACAUCACUUGGGGGUACUUCUAGAUGCUUUGCUGUUGCUUGAGGCUUAGGUCACCUCAGUUGCGCGAAAUGCCUUCCAUCAGUUUCAGCUGGUGGCCGAACUGUGCCCCUAACUGGACAGGGAUAGCCCAGCUUCUAUCAUCUAUGCUGUGGUAACUUCUAGCAAUGCAUUAUACAUGUAGCAGCUUCUGAUGAUGGUUCAGAAAAUUCAGCUAGUGUAUAAUUCCUCUUCUAGGUUGCUCACCAGGGCAUGACAGUUUGAACAUAUUACACUGAUCCUGGCCUAACUGCACUGGCUUCCAAAUGGUUUCCUGGCCCAGUUCAAAGUGCUGGUCUUGUCCUAUAAAGUCUUAAACUGUUCAUGACUGCAAUACCUCAAAGACUAUGUAUCCCCAUGUGACCCAACCCAGAACCUGUAAUCCUCAUUGGAGGCCCUUUGUGUGCCUCCUCAAUGAGAGGUCAGGAGGAUGGCAACGGGAGAACAGGCCUCUAUUGCAGUAACUCCCCAUUUGUGGAAUGCUCUCCCCAGGGAGGAUCGCCUAGCACCUUCGUUAUACAUCUUUAAGUGUCAGGUGAAAAUGUUCCUAUUCAAUCAGGCCUUCAGCUGAUUAACAUUCUAUGUCCUCUUAAAUGUUUUUGUGGGAGGUGGGGUCAUGGGUUUGUCUUGUUCUUAUUUUUAUUUUUAUUUUGUAUUUUUAUGCUGUCAACCACCCUGAGAUCUUGGAUAAAGGGAGGUAAAUAAAUAAGUAACUUAAAUAUUUAAUCAUGAUUGAUGAGGAAAACACAACAAUAUUAAAACUCCACAAUAUAUGCAGCAUAAAAACUUCCAAGGGAGUGAAACUGUUAAAGGGUUUGCAAAAAAUAAUAGGCAUUUUGCUUGAUGUCAAAAAGGCCACAUCCGCACCAUAAAUUUUAAGCACCAUUAUACCACUCAGUGUGGGGAACAGUGAUCUCGUAAGAAUUCUCAGCACCCUUAACAAUCUAUGGUUCCCAGGAUAUUUUGUGGAAAGUCAUUUCUGCUUAAAGUGGUAAAAUGCUGCUUUAAAUGUAUGGUGCAGAUGUAGCAAAAGAUAGCAAAGUGAGCAAGAACUCCACAGCUGGGGCACUACCACCAAUAAGGCCCUCUUGUUCUGUUACAUUUAAUCUGGUGGGGACUUCCAGAGGAGGCUCCUCAGAGCUCUUAAUGUAUGACACAAGGCUGAUAAUGGAGGCAGGUGUUUCCCUGAUCUAAGCUGUCAACCUGGUUAGCUCAGUUGGUUAGAGCAUGGUGCUGAUAAUGCCAAGGUGGCAGGUUCAAUCCCCCUUUGGGGCAGCUGCAUUUUCCUGCAUUGCAGGGGGGUUGGACUAGAUGAUAAUCCUCAGGAUUCCUUCCAACUCUACAAUUCUAUGUUUGUGCUCCCUGAGGAAAAAAAUGUGUGGAAGAGAUGGGGAGAAAGAAAAAAGGGAUAAGAAGUAUAUGGCUAGCCCACUGUUAGCUCUGGCCCCACUGUCUUUUGGAUUGGGGCCUGCCCAUUGUUAAUUGCAGCCCCACCCACUCACUCUAAUACAGCCUCCGUGAUGUUUCCUAUCUUAAAGCCAUCCAAAGUGGCCAUCAGUGCUUCCUAUAGGAGUGAGUUUCAUAGUUGAACUAUGCACUGUGUGAAUAAGUACUCCGCUCACCCCCAAUCCUAAAUCUUCCAAAAUUCAGCUUCAGUUGCUUUCCUAGUGAUCUCUAGAUGGGAAUUUGCAUUUUUUCACAGCUGCCACAUCCUGGGUCAACACCUUCAUUGAGCUAUCCACUGGAACUCCAAGGUCUCAUUCCUGGUCAUUUCCUGCCAGUUCAGGCUCAGUGAGUGUAUAUGUGAAAUAAGGAUGGUGAUUCUGUCACUAGGGGGCAGCCUCACCCUAUAGCCACUUCUGCAACAUGAUCUACAGUAUAAAGCUGAGAUGUUAGGAGACUUCACACCUUCAAUUGACCAUUAUAUGGCCUUUAUGCCCCUAAGUGAAGCUGAGUGAUGGACUUUCAUGUGGCUGGAAUUGGGUGGAUCUGUUGUAAUCCAAGGCUCCACUUUGCAUUUAAAGGACUGACUUGCCCAACUAUGGUCAUGCCUUUCACAGCCCUCAUUAAUGCAUUAUGACGUAGUAGAACAGGAAGCCCACAGGUCCAAAACCUGUUUCCUGUUAUUCAUUCUUCAUCUUUUGCCUCCAGCUGGAACCUAAUUUCCUGCAACCACUGGAAGCUGCAGAUGCAAACAGGGCCAUGGAAAGGCUUUGAUACGCAAUAAUGCCCGGAAAAGGGAAUCAAGGCCCAGAACAGGUAGAAACUAGAGUGCAAAGAGCACUCCACUAAUCAAUGCACUAGCAGAAAUGUGAGAAACGGGGAAUGAAUAAGAGGCUGGGCUUUUCUAGAUAACCAUUUUAUUGUGUAAUAAAUGUACAAUUGUUACAUAGGAUCUAAACACCCCUCGACCACUAACAGUACAUUUGUUGCAGAGAAAUGAAUUGUCCUAGUACUCAUACAGCAAUAUUUUAUUAUUUGCUAGUAAAAAGUCAGCAUUCCCCCAGCAACAUGCAUCUCCUUUAUUAAGAAAAAUGUAUCAUAGAAUUGUCAGAAUCAGACCUUGAGUGUGGUGAGACCUACACUUUGGAAUGCCCUCCAAUUAUAUAUUAGAUAAAUGCCAUCUCUAUCGACUUUUAGGCACUUGUUGAAGACUUUCCUCUUUUGAUAAACCUUCCAAAUGGAGAUUGUGAUCCCAAUUGGUAUCUGCAAUGCACGAAAGCUGUAGGAGCAUGUGGCCUGGGCUGGAUGUCUCUACUUGGUCAGCCAGCCGAUGGCCUUUCCCAUCUGCACUGUCUGUGACACUUUGGAAGAAAAGAACAAGCUGAGAUAAGUAAGCUUUGCUGGCAUCAGGGCCCUGUUAUGAGGCUUUCCCUGUUAGCCUCCAUUUCAUGUUCAGCAGUGAACCAAAGAUGGCUUUGGCUCAAGCAAAGGACUGUGGGUAAUGACCUUCCCACCUUGACCAUAUGCACAGUCUUGUAGUUUGAUUUCUCUAUGUUUUCCUUUCUUACCAAUGAGGUCAUGAGUAUCUGGAAGGUUCCUUGAUUGACUCACCAGGAAGCUAGGUUGCCAAAUGCAGAUUAUUUGCAUCUAAAAGUUCCUUCAUGGAGCUAUGGAAACAAGCUUGUGCACCAGCCAUAAAUUCUAUAGAAAUGCAGAGGCAUACCAGAUAGAACAAUAGGAUCUGCAGGCAAGGUAGCAUAACUCACCAGGAAGCCACUCCUCCUGACAGGUUAAAUCUCCAAGAUAAACCUUUUGGAUAAGUGACCCUUGUUUGUGUGUCCCAAUCUAAGUCUUACGAAAAAUGUCCAUAUUACAUUACAUGCCCCACCCCAGCUACGCCCCUGUCUGGAAGGGUCCAGAUCACACACAGGACAGGCUAAAUGAUCUUUUUGGGCCAGUGUAUUUUUGAGACCACGUAGGCGGCAAUUUCACAAAGGGUCCCCCAAUACACAUGUCCAUCAGCCACCAUGUUAACAGCCCCAGCACAGGAGGAUGGAGACAGCUGGGGAAGUGAUGGAUUGCUAUCUCCACCACCCACCUUCUUAAUUAGAGCCAGUUGAGGGAGUAGCCCCGGCUGUCAGUUUCCUCCUCCUCAGUGUUAGUAUUGCACUUGUAGAGUGCCAAUCGAGAUAAUAUAUUUUUUAAAGGAAUGGCCAUGAGCAUUUGUCGUCUCAUCACUGAGAUAGGACAACCAAUCCCCACCCAUUUGAAUUUAGAGCCAAGAGAGAACAGGUUAAUGCAACGUGGCACAUGCAUUUCUUAUUUACACUUUUGCUUGCAGAAGAACAUUGUAAGGUGUGGAAGCUUGCCACUUUUUACACCCCAAAGAUAAACAUGUUUACUCAGACAUCUCACUGUUUCCUGCCUAUUAAACAGAGUUUAAUUGCAGCCUUAAUUAUUGUUGAUCCAAUAAUCCUUUUACUUGUAACCUUCGUUUGAGCAAGUUGUCACACCCUGUCCUAGUGGCAUUUAAAGAAUAGAUGUUGCAGAACAGAUAUAUUUAUUAUAUUUGAGUUUCCUUCACGUUGGCAUAUUGAGAUUUGCCAGGGAUCAAACCCAGGACCUUGGACAUGCAAGGCACAUGCUCUGCUAUUGAGCUACUUCUUCAAAUGCUGAUCCUUUUAAAUAUUAACUUUCCGAAUGCUGAAGCCAGGGCAGUGAAUCAAUAAAGGAAGUGGGUUUUAAUGUGCAAAUAAUCUCAUCUCUAAUGUAAAUGAAUAAAACCUGUGGUUUUAAAACAAAUAAA